Molecule: small RNA, 16 nt
Filed under: Arabidopsis thaliana (thale cress)
Lineage: Eukaryota; Viridiplantae; Streptophyta; Magnoliopsida; Brassicales; Brassicaceae
Description: ATSL230090
Source: RNAcentral
AAAGAAACUGAAUUGA